This 493-nucleotide ribosomal RNA is filed under the name uncultured bacterium. RNAcentral describes it as "bacterial SSU rRNA". It matches the Rfam family "Bacterial small subunit ribosomal RNA", at positions 35 to 524 of the family's 1533-position model. The record is from RNAcentral.
GCUGGCGGCAGCUUACAAUGCCAGUCCAGCGGAAACGAUGAUAGCUUGCUAUCAGGCGUCGAGCGGCGGACGGGUGAGUAAUACUUAGGAAUCUACCUAGUAGUGGGGGAUAGCUCGGGGAAACUCGAAUUAAUACCGCAUUCGACCUACGGGAGAAAGGGGGCAGUUUACUGCUCUCGCUAUUAGAUGAGCCUAAGUCGGAUUAGCUAGAUGGUGGGGUAAAGGCCUACCAUGGCGACGAUCUGUAGCUGGUCUGAGAGGAUGAUCAGCCACACCGGGACUGAGACACGGCCCGGACUCCUACGGGAGGCAGCAGUGGGGAAUAUUGGACAAUGGGGGCAACCCUGAUCCAGCCAUGCCGCGUGUGUGAAGAAGGCCUUUUGGUUGUAAAGCACUUUAAGCAGUGAAGAAGACUUCAUGGUUAAUACCCAUGGACGAUGACAUUAGCUGCAGAAUAAGCACCGGCUAACUCUGUGCCAGCAGCCGCGGUAAU